UGGUGGAGUGAUUUGUCUGGUUAAUUCCGAUAACGAACGAGACUCUGUCCUGCUAAAUAGGCCCGACCUUUUUUCUUUUUCUAGCUUGUGGUAGCGUUGUUCGGUUUUGGGUUUGUGGCUAAGGUUCGCCUUGUCGCGGCUCUUGCCUUGCAACGUCCCAGGCUGCGGGUCGGGGAGUUCUUCUUAGAGGGACUGGCGAUUGUUAGUCGCACGAGAUAGAGCAAUAACA
This 229-nucleotide ribosomal RNA is filed under the name uncultured eukaryote. RNAcentral describes it as "partial 18S ribosomal RNA". It matches the Rfam family "Eukaryotic small subunit ribosomal RNA", at positions 1299 to 1458 of the family's 1831-position model. The record is from RNAcentral.